RNAcentral lists this long non-coding RNA (238 nucleotides) under Scleropages formosus (Asian bonytongue). Its description in RNAcentral is "lncRNA (ENSSFOG00015025878.1)". The record is from RNAcentral. Lineage: Eukaryota; Metazoa; Chordata; Actinopteri; Osteoglossiformes; Osteoglossidae.
GCCCAAUAGGAAACACUGGUUUCUUGCCGACGAUGGACGUCUUUCCGACGUGGUUGACGAUGGGCCGCAGAUAUAUAUAUAUAUUUUUUUAAUAUUCAGCCCUUCCGUGUGAAGCGUCAUCGCUACACUUACACCAUUUACUCCAGUAACGCCGGACGAGACAAACCUGAGAGUGAGUAAGUGUCCGGCGAAAAGUACAUCACCGCAAGACACCUUGGCUCUGAGCGCUAUCUCGGGU